This 1126-nucleotide ribosomal RNA is filed under the name Salmonella enterica subsp. enterica serovar Infantis. RNAcentral's name for it is "bacterial SSU rRNA". The record is from RNAcentral. Lineage: Bacteria; Pseudomonadati; Pseudomonadota; Gammaproteobacteria; Enterobacterales; Enterobacteriaceae.
AGAGUUUGAUCAUGGCUCAGAUUGAACGCUGGCGGCAGGCCUAACACAUGCAAGUCGAACGGUAGCACAGAGAGCUUGCUCUCGGGUGACGAGUGGCGGACGGGUGAGUAAUGUCUGGGAAACUGCCUGAUGGAGGGGGAUAACUACUGGAAACGGUGGCUAAUACCGCAUAACGUCGCAAGACCAAAGAGGGGGACCUUCGGGCCUCUUGCCAUCAGAUGUGCCCAGAUGGGAUUAGCUUGUUGGUGAGGUAACGGCUCACCAAGGCGACGAUCCCUAGCUGGUCUGAGAGGAUGACCAGCCACACUGGAACUGAGACACGGUCCAGACUCCUACGGGAGGCAGCAGUGGGGAAUAUUGCACAAUGGGCGCAAGCCUGAUGCAGCCAUGCCGCGUGUAUGAAGAAGGCCUUCGGGUUGUAAAGUACUUUCAGCGGGGAGGAAGGUGUUGUGGUUAAUAACCRCAGCAAUUGACGUUACCCGCAGAAGAAGCACCGGCUAACUCCGUGCCAGCAGCCGCGGUAAUACGGAGGGUGCAAGCGUUAAUCGGAAUUACUGGGCGUAAAGCGCACGCAGGCGGUCUGUCAAGUCGGAUGUGAAAUCCCCGGGCUCAACCUGGGAACUGCAUUCGAAACUGGCAGGCUUGAGUCUUGUAGAGGGGGGUAGAAUUCCAGGUGUAGCGGUGAAAUGCGUAGAGAUCUGGAGGAAUACCGGUGGCGAAGGCGGCCCCCUGGACAAAGACUGACGCUCAGGUGCGAAAGCGUGGGGAGCAAACAGGAUUAGAUACCCUGGUAGUCCACGCCGUAAACGAUGUCUACUUGGAGGUUGUGCCCUUGAGGCGUGGCUUCCGGAGCUAACGCGUUAAGUAGACCGCCUGGGGAGUACGGCCGCAAGGUUAAAACUCAAAUGAAUUGACGGGGGCCCGCACAAGCGGUGGAGCAUGUGGUUUAAUUCGAUGCAACGCGAAGAACCUUACCUGGUCUUGACAUCCACAGAAGAAUCCAGAGAUGGAUUUGUGCCUUCGGGAACUGUGAGACAGGUGCUGCAUGGCUGUCGUCAGCUCGUGUUGUGAAAUGUUGGGUUAAGUCCCGCAACGAGCGCAACCCUUAUCCUUUGUUGCCAGCGGU